CUUUAUAUUAUUUUACUCCAAUUACAUCUCUCGAAAGAGACUAUAUUACUGAGUGAAACUUUUUGCAAAGCCAUUUCACAUAAACAUUUUCUUUUAAUAGUCAUUUCAAUUACCGGGGAAUAAAGCAAUGGAAUGUUUUCCAGUCAGAAGGUGGUUAUCCUCAAUGACUGAUGUAGCAGCACUAUCCACCGAUACAAAGACAAGAGCUCUAGAGGCAGUUAUGGAAUCAAAUGCAUGUACCCAGU
Molecule: long non-coding RNA, 245 nt
Organism: Octopus sinensis (East Asian common octopus)
Lineage: Eukaryota; Metazoa; Mollusca; Cephalopoda; Octopoda; Octopodidae
Exons: 3
Source: RefSeq, a predicted model, not a curated record